Molecule: long non-coding RNA, 1417 nt
Organism: Homo sapiens (human)
Lineage: Eukaryota; Metazoa; Chordata; Mammalia; Primates; Hominidae
Product: long intergenic non-protein coding RNA 1405
Source: Ensembl
ACUUCUCUCUCUGUCUCUCCUGCCACCAUGUGAAGAAGGUGCUUGUUUCCCCUUUGCCUUCCGCCAUGAGUGUAAGUUUCCUGAGGUCUCCCAGUCAUACUGCUGGUUAAGCCUGCAGAACGGCUGGUCUUGAACUCCCAGCCUCAAGCCAUCCUCCCGCCUUGGCCUUUCAAAGUGCUGGAUUACAAGCGUGAGCCACCGUGCACAGCCAAGACACAAUUUUAAAUCGAGCGGUCAGGAAGCCUCCUGGAGAAAAUGACGUUUGAACAAAGACAUGAAGAAAGUGGAGAAUAUUUGGAGAAAAGCAUUUCAGGCAGAGGAAAGUGCCAGGGCAGAGGCCCCGAGGUGCUGCUGACAGCCAUCGUGUGCUGCGGAGGAAGAUUGCCUGAGAAUGGAGCCAUUCAGGAGGAAAUGGGGCAGAGAAAUAAAGAGAAAUCAAAUCCCAUCUUUUCAGUCCCGCUUCCCUCACUCCCUCAUCCAUUCUUCCUGGCAGACUAUUCAGUUGUGCUUUUUAAGAUUUAUUCUGUUUUUGUUUUUCACCUAAGACGGUUUAGCUUGUUUGUUUUUCUCUUGUUUGCAACCAGUGUGUUCUAGCGGUUAUUACGAAUUUAAUAGACUUUAUACAAGAUUUUGUAAAGGGCAGAAAACUCAAGAUUGGACAGUGACUUUCUCCUAGGACACUAUCUUGCCGGUGCCCUCACCUCAGUCUCCACCCUGGAUCUCCGAUUUUGUCCCUGAAACUUCAAAUUCUUUUCCUUCAAUUAUACAAUGCAGCAGCUCUCCUUUCAGUAGUGCUACUUUGUACCCUACCCUGGGGAAGAGGUAGCUCAUAUUCGAACCUGAGCUCUUGGCAAGGUCUUUUUCCAGAUCUAAGGCAGUUCCCUUCCUAAGGGAGAGUCAGAUGCCACUGAGGAGAGAGAAAGGUAGUCGGAGGGAAUGUUAUGGCAGACACUGUGGUUGCUCACUAAUGUAACAUCCCUUCUCUUCUUCCUUGCUGUAAGGACUCUAAUCUUGUUCCGGGAUUUAAGGAAGGUGGGUUCAGCCUCUGGCUUAGAGGAUGGGCAUGUAACCCAGUCUGACCAGCAAGGUAUAAAGGUCAAUUUAUGGGCAGUCUGGGAAAGUUUUUCUUCCCCGAUAAGAGGAAAACAUAAGGGGAUCUCUCUGCUCUAAGCCUCCAAUUACUUCCUUCUCCAAAAGCAGUUAUGUGAGGAUGUGAUGCCUGGAGCUGUGGAAGCCAUUUUGUGACCAUGAGGAGAAAGCCAAGAGAAUAACAGAGACACUAUCCCAAUGUCCUGAGUAUUGUUCAGCUAUGAAACUAACCCUGGAAACUCCUUGGGCCACAUAGUAGAUAUUUUAAGUUUUGCCAGCCAUAUGUCUCUGUCAUGACUACUAAACUCUUCAUUUAUAUCGUGACAGC